GAGCGGGGAGGAGGCGGUGGCCGUGGUGCGGGCUCUGCAGCGAGCGCUCGAUGGAACCUCACCCCAGGGGAUGGUGACUUUCGAGGACAUGGCUGUGUCUCUAACCUGGGAGGAGUGGGAGCGCCUGGACCCAGCACGGAGGGACUUCUGCAGAGAGAGUGUGCAGAAGGAUUCCGGGAGCACAGUUCCGCCGAGUGAGUGCUGUUGCUCUGCUGGUUUAUUGCGGUGUGUGGUUUGUGAAGGGCUGGUUCACUACCAUCCCUGAGCCAUUAUGCUAUUCCCAGACUUGGGCUGAGAGUCUUCAGGUGCCUUCUGUAACGCAAGC
This 325-nucleotide small RNA is filed under the name Pongo abelii (Sumatran orangutan). RNAcentral describes it as "retained intron". Lineage: Eukaryota; Metazoa; Chordata; Mammalia; Primates; Hominidae. The record is from RNAcentral.